UACGUAGGGCGCAAGCGUUGUCCGGAAUUAUUGGGCGUAAAGAGCUCGUAGGCGGCCUGUUGCGUCCGCUGUGAAAUCCCGGGGCUCAACCCCGGGCGUGCAGUGGAUACGGGCUGGCUGGAGGCAGGCAGGGGAGAACGGAAUUCCUGGUGUAGCGGUGAAAUGCGCAGAUAUCAGGAGGAGCACCGGUGGCGAAGGCGGGUCUCUGGGCCGAUACUGACGCUGAGGAGCGAAAGCGUGGGGAGCGAACAGG
Molecule: ribosomal RNA, 253 nt
Filed under: uncultured bacterium
Lineage: Bacteria
Description: partial 16S ribosomal RNA
Rfam family: Bacterial small subunit ribosomal RNA
Source: RNAcentral